GACGAACGCUGGCGGCGUGCCUAAUACAUGCAAGUUGAGCGAUGAAGAUUGGUGCUUGCACCAAUUUGAAGAGCAGCGAACGGGUGAGUAACGCGUGGGGAAUCUGCCUUUGAGCGGGGGACAACAUUUGGAAACGAAUGCUAAUACCGCAUAACAACUUUAAACAUAAGUUUUAAGUUUGAAAGAUGCAAUUGCAUCACUCAAAGAUGAUCCCGCGUUGUAUUAGCUAGUUGGUGAGGUAAAGGCUCACCGAGGCGAUGAUACAUAGCCGACCUGAGAGGGUGAUCGGCCACAUUGGGACUGAGACACGGCCCAAACUCCUACGGGAGGCAGCAGUAGGGAAUCUUCGGCAAUGGACGAAAGUCUGACCGAGCAACGCCGCGUGAGUGAAGAAGGUUUUCGGAUCGUAAAACUCUGUUGGUAGAGAAGAACGUUGGUGAGAGUGGAAAGCUCAUCAAGUGACGGUAACUACCCAGAAAGGGACGGCUAACUACGUG
This 497-nucleotide ribosomal RNA is filed under the name uncultured bacterium. RNAcentral describes it as "partial 16S ribosomal RNA". It matches the Rfam family "Bacterial small subunit ribosomal RNA", at positions 28 to 507 of the family's 1533-position model. The record is from RNAcentral.